GACCGAUUCCAAACUCCCAGAUGCUCAGUCUGGCUAUGAAAAAGGGUAUACCGUCACAUUGGCUGCUCAUUCCGGGGCCAACCUGGUUUAUGAAUCAG
This 98-nucleotide non-coding RNA is filed under the name marine eukaryotic metagenome. Its description in RNAcentral is "Pyrrolysine insertion sequence mttB". It matches the Rfam family "Pyrrolysine insertion sequence mttB". The record is from RNAcentral.